RNAcentral lists this ribosomal RNA (548 nucleotides) under Aphaenogaster cardenai. Its description in RNAcentral is "partial 16S ribosomal RNA". It matches the Rfam family "Archaeal large subunit ribosomal RNA", at positions 1889 to 2690 of the family's 2987-position model. The record is from RNAcentral. Lineage: Eukaryota; Metazoa; Arthropoda; Insecta; Hymenoptera; Formicidae.
CACCUGUUUAUCAAAAACAUAGCUUUUUGAUUAUAAUUAAAGGUUAUUUCUGCCCUAUGAGUAAUUUUAAAUGGCUGCAGUAUAUUGACUGUGCUAAGGUAGCAUAAUCAAUUGUUUUUUAAUUGGAAACUUGAAUGAAAGAAAAAAUGAGAUUUAAGCUGUCUAAAGUUAAAAAUUUAUAAUUUAUUGUUUGAGUAAAAAAACUUAAAUUAAAACAUGGGACGAGAAGACCCUAUAGAAUUUUAUAUAAAUUUUAUAGUUAUAUUUAUUUAAUUAUUAUAAUAAAAUUUUAUAUUUAAUUGGGAGGAUUGUUAAAUUAAUAUAACUUUAAUUAAUAAAGACCAUUUAUGUAUGAGUUAAGGAUUGAUUAUUAAAUUAAGAAAGAAUUAAUUACCUUAGGGAUAACAGCGUAAUAUUUUUAGAAAGUUCAUAUUAAUAAAAAUGAUUGCGACCUCGAUGUUGAAUUAAGAUAAAAAUUAGAUGAAGAAGUCUAAUAUUUGGGUCUGUUCGACCUAUAAAAUCUUACAUGAUUUGAGUUCAAAUCGACG